GAUGAACGCUGGCGGCGUGCCUAAUACAUGCAAGUCGAGCGAACAGACGAGGAGCUUGCUCCUCUGACGUUAGCGGCGGACGGGUGAGUAACACGUGGAUAACCUACCUAUAAGACUGGGAUAACUUCGGGAAACCGGAGCUAAUACCGGAUAACAUGUUGAACCGCAUGGUUCAACAGUGAAAGACGGUCUUGCUGUCACUUAUAGAUGGAUCCGCGCCGCAUUAGCUAGUUGGUAAGGUAACGGCUUACCAAGGCAACGAUGCGUAGCCGACGUGAGAGGGUGAUAGGCCACACUGGAACUGGGCCGCGGUCCAGACUCCUACGGGAGGCAGCAGUAGGGAAUCUUCCGCAAUGGGCGAAAGCCUGACGGAGCAACGCCGCGUGAGUGAAGAAGGUCUUCGGAUCGUAAAACUCUGUUAUUAGGGAAGAACAAAUGUGUAAGUAACUGUGCACGUCUUGACGGUACCUAAUCAGAAAGCCACGGCUAACUACGUG
This 497-nucleotide ribosomal RNA is filed under the name uncultured bacterium. Its description in RNAcentral is "partial 16S ribosomal RNA". It matches the Rfam family "Bacterial small subunit ribosomal RNA", at positions 28 to 507 of the family's 1533-position model. The record is from RNAcentral.